Sander lucioperca (pikeperch) is the source of this 712-nucleotide long non-coding RNA. RefSeq lists it as uncharacterized. The transcript has 3 exons. The record is from RefSeq and is a predicted model, not a curated record. NCBI's taxonomy places the organism in Eukaryota, Metazoa, Chordata, Actinopteri, Perciformes, Percidae.
GCACCCCUGUUUCAGUUUAAAUAAUCGUUUAUUUGUUUGUUACGUUUUUUUGGAGCUGAACGUAGCCCAUCUUUGUGUUGAAAGGAGUGCAAUUAUACACAUGUAGGUGCAAAGCUCUUGUGCUCGGCGGGGCGGACGGACGGAGAGCGGCAGCCCUAAUGAAAUAGGCCUCGGUGACAGGCUGAUGAGGCCCGACCCGAUCAGACGGCUUUGAAAGGAAAUUCUGACAGGGCGGUGGAGGUUGCAGCCAGUAGCAACAAGAAGAAGAGAUGAGCUGUCUGUGGACCCAAGAAGGCAAGGAAGACACAGUACAGAUGCAUCAUGUUCAGUGAAGACAUCUGCAGCACACACUCAGUCAUGUUCUGUUCCUCAAAUUUGUGUUCAAUGAUUUCCUUGCAAUACUGUAUUUAAAAAUGUGUCUUUCCAGUUUGCUCAGUUAGAAGCAAACACAUUGUUAUUGAUGCAGACCUUGUUACAUUUGUUUAUUGAAGAUAACCGUGGUUUAUUCCACCACGCCUUUACUAUUAUGUAUAAAGUCCUUAUAUAUUAUUAUUAUUAUUACUAUUAUUAUUGUUGUUGAUAAUUCUGAUGUAGCAACUGUAAAUGGAAAAUAUUAACUAAUAAAUGAUGUCUAUAUUGCUUAAUUGAUAUGAAGUAAAACAUCUGUUAAGUAUUUUGACUUACACUGGAAUGGCGUUAUUGUACAAAAAUA